AGUGAACGCUGGCGGUAGGCCUAACACAUGCAAGUCGAACGGCAGCACAGUAAGAGCUUGCUCUUACGGGUGGCGAGUGGCGGACGGGUGAGGAAUACAUCGGAAUCUACUUUUUCGUGGGGGAUAACGUAGGGAAACUUACGCUAAUACCGCAUACGACCUACGUGUGAAAGCAGGGGAUCUUCGGCCCUUGCGCGAUUGAAUGAGCCGAUGUCGGAUUAGCUAGUUGGCGGGGUAAAGGCCCACCAAGGCGACGAUCCGUAGCUGGUCUGAGAGGAUGAUCAGACACAAUGGAACUGAGACACGGGCCAGACUCCUACGGGAGGCAGCAGUGGGGAAUAUUGGACAAUGGGCGCAAGCCUGAUCCAGCCAUACCGCGUGGGUGAAGAAGGCCUUCGGGUUGUAAAGCCCUUUUGUUGGGAAAGAAAAGCAGCAGGUUAAUACCCCGCUGUUCUGACGGUACCCAAAGAAUAAGCACCGGCUAACUUCGUG
RNAcentral lists this ribosomal RNA (492 nucleotides) under uncultured bacterium. Its description in RNAcentral is "partial 16S ribosomal RNA". It matches the Rfam family "Bacterial small subunit ribosomal RNA", at positions 29 to 507 of the family's 1533-position model. The record is from RNAcentral.